GAGUUUGAUCAUGGCUCAGGAUGAACGCUGGCGGCGUGCCUAACACAUGCAAGUCGAACGGAUCCAUAUUGAAACCUAGUGAUGUAUGGAUUAGUGGCGGACGGGUGAGUAACGCGUGGAUAACCUGCCGUAUACAGGGGGAGUAACACUUAGAAAUAGGUGCUAAUACCGCAUAAGCGCACGGUUCCGCAUGGAACAGUGUGAAAAACUACCGGUGGUAUACGAUGGAUCCGCGUCUGAUUAGCCAGUUGGCGGGGUAACGGGCCCACCAAAGCGACGAUCAGUAGCCGGCCUGAGAGGGUGAACGGCCACAUUGGGACUGAGACACGGCCCAAACUCCUACGGGAGGCAGCAGUGGGGAAUAUUGCACAAUGGGGGGAAACCCUGAUGCAGCGACGCCGCGUGAGUGAAGAAGUAUUUCGGUACGUAAAGCUCUAUCAGCAGGGAAGAAAAAAAGUCCUUUGGACUUUGGACGGUACCUGACUAAGAAGCCCCGGCUAACUACGUGCCAGCAG
Molecule: ribosomal RNA, 515 nt
Filed under: uncultured microorganism
Description: bacterial SSU rRNA
Rfam family: Bacterial small subunit ribosomal RNA
Source: RNAcentral